CACGCCGUAAACGAUGGAUGCUAGCUGUUAGGAGUAUCGACCCUUCUAGUAGCGAAGCUAACGCGUUAAGCAUCCCGCCUGGGGAGUACGGUCGCAAGAUUAAAACUCAAAGGAAUUGACGGGGACCCGCACAAGUGGUGGAGCGUGUUCUUUAAUUCGAAGUUAAGCGAAGAACCUUACCAGGGCUUGACAUCCCGAGAAUUUCUGCGAAAGCAGAGAGUGCCUUUAUUGGAAUUCGGUGACAGGUGU
RNAcentral lists this ribosomal RNA (249 nucleotides) under uncultured bacterium. RNAcentral describes it as "partial 16S ribosomal RNA". It matches the Rfam family "Bacterial small subunit ribosomal RNA", at positions 796 to 1041 of the family's 1533-position model. The record is from RNAcentral.